UAUCGGAACGUGCCCUGGAGUGGGGGAUAACUAGUCGAAAGACUAGCUAAUACCGCAUACGAUCUACGGAUGAAAGUGGGGGAUCGCAAGACCUCAUGCUCGUGGAGCGGCCGAUAUCUGAUUAGCUAGUUGGUGGGGUAAAGGCCUACCAAGGCAUCGAUCAGUAGCUGGUCUGAGAGGACGACCAGCCACACUGGGACUGAGACACAGCCCAG
Molecule: ribosomal RNA, 215 nt
Filed under: uncultured bacterium
Lineage: Bacteria
Description: partial 16S ribosomal RNA
Rfam family: Bacterial small subunit ribosomal RNA
Source: RNAcentral